UUUCUGCAAAACUUUCCAUUUUGAGCGAGCUGCUUGGAGGUUGUUGUUCAUUUUGAAAAUGUUAAGUUAAAAAGACCUGAAGAAAAGAGAGCGCUGCAUGGAAUGCACCAGAAAUUGCUGACUUAUAUCCACAGUCUACAUCCGAGGCCUCCAGCAGUGACUGUUCGCUCAUUGGCAGACUUCACCUCCACAUAUCAUGAACCUGCAGAGGGUCAGAGGGGUCAAGUGGAACAAAUACCCCCACAGUGUGCCACCCUACGCAGUCCGAAGCUCUCAGCUCCCAAACCCGUGGAAAAAGCACCGACCUUUUCCCCCGUGCCGAUGUGCAGCCCCUCCAUCACUUUGGCGAACGAACCCUUGUUGAUCAUCUUCCCCACCAGGUA
Molecule: long non-coding RNA, 383 nt
Organism: Amphiprion ocellaris (clown anemonefish)
Lineage: Eukaryota; Metazoa; Chordata; Actinopteri; Pomacentridae
Exons: 3
Source: RefSeq, a predicted model, not a curated record